This 1008-nucleotide long non-coding RNA is filed under the name Androctonus crassicauda. Lineage: Eukaryota; Metazoa; Arthropoda; Arachnida; Scorpiones; Buthidae. The record is from RNAcentral.
ACCCGUGUUCCUGUCCCUCACAAUACUCCCCACUUUCUAAAAUGAUCUACAUCCAUAGAUUCAUUUUAGUAAAUAAUUUUGCUUUGACAAUAAUUUAUUUUAGAACUCUCUCUCGCGGAGUUAAUCUUCGCGUAGGAACCGACCGACUUUAAUUUAGAUGUGGGUCGAAGAGAUAUAAAAGGACAAAGUAAUAAAAUGAUAAAAGGAUGUUUAUUAUUUCUAAUAAUAAUUCAAAAUAAUCAUAAUAAUUUCAAAAUAAUUCGCAAUAUAUAUAUAUGGAUUACAGGUAUAUAAUAUAACUACAUAAAUUGAAUCUACCAUAAACAUUUGUGAAUAAUAUGAAUUUACAUAAAAUAAAGGGAUGAGUCAUCCUUGUGGAUGAGCCGAUUCUAACGGGGAGUUCUACCUCUUCCCGUAUUAGGAGUCGGAGAAAGAAGUAAGUCCGUAUUACUGGAUCGUUCAUGACGUGAGACGGGAUUACGUGACGUGAUGUCAUCCGGGGACUUCAUUUCUGGAUGCGAUGUUUCUGUUUGUUCGGGAAGUUGUCGUCUAGAGGAAGAAUUCUGUUGUCUAGGUGAAGGCGGAAGGGACUCGAAGGCUCUCGAGGCGGUGGAUAUAUCGUUUGUCAGAUGGAAUUGAGCUAACUGCAUCUGCAUACACAGGGGGGUUUUUACCCCAGCAGGUAGCAGAAUGGCCACCUUUAAAUCGCUAGGGUUCUCCGCAUUAAUUUGUUUUCCUCGGUCAAUUGCUUGGCAAAGGACGGCCGGGUCUAUUCGUCGGAUCGUAGCCGCAGAUGGUUGUCGCGGAGGCGUCGUGGCUGGCGAAGAUUCCCAGGGCGAACCCAUGGGAGUGCUAUCAUCCCAUCCAUCGCUCCACCCUUCUGCCAUAUUGAUUGCAGAUCUGUGAAUAAACAAUUUAAAUUGAUUUGUCUUCUUUGUUUUUGAUACUUAAAAUUGUGAACUAUAUGUAUAUUCUCUCCUUUUUUUGUGUGUGUGUGUGUGUGUGUGC